This 388-nucleotide ribosomal RNA is filed under the name uncultured bacterium. Its description in RNAcentral is "bacterial SSU rRNA". It matches the Rfam family "Bacterial small subunit ribosomal RNA", at positions 100 to 486 of the family's 1533-position model. The record is from RNAcentral.
ACGGUGAGUAAUGUCUGGGAANCUGCCUGAUGGAGGGGGAUAACUACUGGAAACGGUAGCUAAUACCGCAUAACGUCGCAAGACCAAAGUGGGGGACCUUCGGGCCUCAUGCCAUCAGAUGUGCCCAGAUGGGAUUAGCUAGUAGGUGGGGUAACGGCUCACCUAGGCGACGAUCCCUAGCUGGUCUGAGAGGAUGACCAGCCACACUGGAACUGAGACACGGUCCAGACUCCUACGGGAGGCAGCAGUGGGGAAUAUUGCACAAUGGGCGCAAGCCUGAUGCAGCCAUGCCGCGUGUGUGAAGAAGGCCUUCGGGUUGUAAAGCACUUUCAGCGGGGAGGAAGGCGGUGAGGUUAAUAACCUCAUCGAUUGACGUUACCCUGCAGAA